This 458-nucleotide ribosomal RNA is filed under the name uncultured bacterium. RNAcentral describes it as "partial 16S ribosomal RNA". It matches the Rfam family "Bacterial small subunit ribosomal RNA", at positions 338 to 795 of the family's 1533-position model. The record is from RNAcentral.
CCUACGGGUGGCUGCAGUGGGGAAUAUUGCACAAUGGGGGAAACCCUGAUGCAGCGACGCCGCGUGAGUGAAGAAGUAUUUCGGUAUGUAAAGCUCUAUCAGCAGGGAAGAAAUAGCGACCUUUGGGUCGCCAGACGGUACCUGAUUAAGAAGCCCUGGCGAACUACGUGCCAGCAGCCGGGGUAAUACGUAGGGGGCAAGCUUUAUCCGGAUUUACUGGGUGUAAAGGGAGCGUAGACGGCAGCGAAAGUCUGAAGUGAAAUGCCGGGGCUUAACCCCGGAACUGCUUUGGAAACUGUGCAGCUAGAGGGCAGGAGAGGUAAGUGGAAUUCCUAGUGUAGCGGUGAAAUGCGUAGAGAUUAGGAGGAACACCAGUGGCGAAGGCGGCUUACUGGACUGUAACUGACGUUGAGGCUCGAAAGCGUGGGGAGCAAACAGGAUUAGAUACCCGGGUAGUC